UACAGAGGUCCCAAGCGUUGUUCGGAUUCACUGGGCGUAAAGGGUGCGUAGGCGGUCGGGUAAGUCUGACGUGAAAUCUUCAAGCUCAACUUGGAAACUGCGUCGGAUACUAUUCGGCUAGAGGAAUGGAGGGGAGACUGGAAUACUUGGUGUAGCAGUGAAAUGCGUAGAUAUCAAGUGGAACACCAGUGGCGAAGGCGAGUCUCUGGACAUUUCCUGACGCUGAGGCGCGAAAGCUAGGGUAGCGAACGGG
RNAcentral lists this ribosomal RNA (253 nucleotides) under uncultured bacterium. RNAcentral describes it as "partial 16S ribosomal RNA". It matches the Rfam family "Bacterial small subunit ribosomal RNA", at positions 524 to 776 of the family's 1533-position model. The record is from RNAcentral.